Molecule: long non-coding RNA, 954 nt
Filed under: Helianthus annuus (common sunflower)
Lineage: Eukaryota; Viridiplantae; Streptophyta; Magnoliopsida; Asterales; Asteraceae
Description: hypothetical non coding rna
Source: RNAcentral
AUCAGAUGAGAUAUAGAGAGACUUGGAGAGGGAGAGACCGUAAAGGAGAUACAGCCCGGCAGCGGUGGUUCUAGGGCGGGGUCGCGGCAGCGACAUCGCCUCGGUGGUGAAGAUAACAGGGGACACAACCCUGAUUCCGGCGAACCUAGGGUUCUUCCAUCAUCAUCGUGAGUCAGAAAGUUCACUACCAGUCACCACCAUCAUCAUCAUGAGUUACUACGCCGAACCCUAAACGGCAGUCGACGCUCCUUCCCUCAAGGUUAUCCACCAAGGGCGUAUCCAUCACAGCAAGGGUAUGAUGAUCUGAGUUACAGCCAAGUGAUAGCUAUGUCACUUAUGGAAGCAAGUGGUUGUGGUUGUGAUGGUGUUUGUGGUGAGGACGAUGGUGUUGAUGAUAAUUGUGGUGAUAAUGGAGUUGAAAAACUCGGAGAUGUGUAAAGAUCCAAGAGCAGAGGUUCAGAUUUAGGGUAGAAACGACUCGAAACUCGGAAUGGUCUAAUUUUAUAACAUAAACGAAAGCUUGUAUUUUGGACUAUCAGCUUUAUUUUGCCGCAUAAAUUAGAUGUUUUGGAUCAUUUAGUGGUUAUUAUUGGUUUGUUAUUCGAGUGUAUUGAGAGGGUCAGUGACAAUGCCUACCACCAGACAGUUUUUAGAGUAACAAGCAAGAAGCCUUUCACUUCCAAUUACCGGAGGGGUAAAGGCAUAUAUUAAGAGUUUGAAGUUGAUUGUUUUUUCAACUAUCCAAGUACUACAGGCAACGGUAUCCUGUAUACAGUCAACAACACUAUCAAAGCUGGACAAAACACAUUUCCUGGCUUCUGAAGUUGCCAAUUUAGUGUUACAUGAAAUAGCUCUUCUUGAUGAAUGUGAAAUCUUUUUGGCUUCUGCAGUUCCUUCACAUUCGGCGCUCCUUCCCCUCAAGGCCAGUUACCCUUCAAUCCAGAUCUUCUUUAU